Molecule: microRNA precursor, 64 nt
Filed under: Patiria miniata (bat star)
Lineage: Eukaryota; Metazoa; Echinodermata; Asteroidea; Valvatida; Asterinidae
Description: Pmi-Mir-92-o27_pre stem-loop
Source: RNAcentral
AGGCCUGGGCCUGUGCAAUGCUUUGGAUUCACUGUGGUCUAGUAUUGCACUCCCCCCGGCCUUU